UCCUACGGGGGGCAGCAGUAGGGAAUUUUCGUCAAUGGGCGCAAGCCUGAACGAGCAAUGCCGCGUGAACGAGGAAGGUCUUCGGAUCGUAAAGUUCUGUUGCAGGGGAAAAAGAGCGGAGAGAGGAAAUGGUCUCCGAUUGAUAUUACCCUUCGAGGAAGUCACGGCUAACUACGUGCCAGCAGCCGCGGUAAUACGUAGGUGGCGAGCGUUAUCCGGAAUGAUUGGGCGUAAAGGGCGCGUAGGCGGCCUGCUAAGUCUGGAGUGAAAGGUACCGGCUCAACCGGUACAGGCUCUGGAAACUG
This 305-nucleotide ribosomal RNA is filed under the name uncultured bacterium. Its description in RNAcentral is "bacterial SSU rRNA". It matches the Rfam family "Bacterial small subunit ribosomal RNA", at positions 337 to 635 of the family's 1533-position model. The record is from RNAcentral.